Molecule: long non-coding RNA, 191 nt
Organism: Micropterus dolomieu (smallmouth bass)
Lineage: Eukaryota; Metazoa; Chordata; Actinopteri; Centrarchiformes; Centrarchidae
Exons: 3
Source: RefSeq, a predicted model, not a curated record
GCAUCAGGGAUAUCUGUGAAAAAGUUUCAUUCAAGAGCCUUUCGCCCGAUGUCAGCUGGGAUUGACUGAGUGUGAUUUUGAACUAUUUAUUUGAAGAAACAGGCAGUAAAUGAGGAUGUGUGACAUCUGGAAGCGCUCAGAAGGCAGGACUGAAACCUCCCCCCUUGUCGUUUUGCAGGGCACAAACAUCA